Molecule: ribosomal RNA, 376 nt
Filed under: uncultured eukaryote
Lineage: Eukaryota
Description: partial 18S ribosomal RNA
Rfam family: Eukaryotic small subunit ribosomal RNA
Source: RNAcentral
CAAUAGCGUAUAUUAAAGUUGUUGCGGUUAAAAAGCUCGUAGUUGGAUUUCUGUUGAGGUCGGGCGGUGUACACUUCGUGUAUUAUUUGCUUCGGUCUCGGCAUCCUCUUGGGGAACGUCAGGACUUCAUUGGACUGGCGAGAUUCAAGACUUUUACUUUGAGGAAAUUAGAGUGUUCACGGCAGGCAAGUGCUUUGAAUACAUUAGCAUGGAAUAAUAAUAUAGGACCUUCGUUCUAUUUUGUUGGUUUCUAGAACUUAGGUAAUGAUUAAUAGGGACAAUUGGGGGCAUUCGUAUUAACGCGUCAGAGGUGGAAUUCUUGGAUUGCGUUACGACGAACUACUGCGAAAGCAUUUGCCAAGGAUGUUUUCAUUGA